RNAcentral lists this ribosomal RNA (475 nucleotides) under Escherichia coli. RNAcentral's name for it is "bacterial SSU rRNA". It matches the Rfam family "Bacterial small subunit ribosomal RNA", at positions 28 to 494 of the family's 1533-position model. Lineage: Bacteria; Pseudomonadati; Pseudomonadota; Gammaproteobacteria; Enterobacterales; Enterobacteriaceae. The record is from RNAcentral.
AGAUGAACGCUGGCGGCAGGCCUAACACAUGCAAGUCGAACGGUAACAGGAAGAAGCUUGCUUCUUUGCUGACGAGUGGCGGACGGGUGAGUAAUGUCUGGGAAACUGCCUGAUGGAGGGGGAUAACUACUGGAAACGGUAGCUAAUACCGCAUAACGUCGCAAGACCAAAGAGGGGGACCUUCGGGCCUCUUGCCAUCGGAUGUGCCCAGAUGGGAUUAGCUAGUAGGUGGGGUAACGGCUCACCAAGGCGACGAUCCCUAGCUGGUCUGAGAGGAUGACCAGCCACACUGGAACUGAGACACGGUCCAGACUCCUACGGGAGGCAGCAGUGGGGAAUAUUGCACAAUGGGCGCAAGCCUGAUGCAGCCAUGCCGCGUGUAUGAAGAAGGCCUUCGGGUUGUAAAGUACUUUCAGCGGGGAGGAAGGGAGUAAAGUUAAUACCUUGCUCAUGACGUACCCGCAGAAGAAGCACC